Molecule: ribosomal RNA, 301 nt
Filed under: uncultured bacterium
Lineage: Bacteria
Description: partial 16S ribosomal RNA
Rfam family: Archaeal small subunit ribosomal RNA
Source: RNAcentral
CAGCAGCCGCGGUAAAACCAGCACCUCGAGUGGUCAGGAGGUUUAUUGGGCCUAAAGCAUCCGUAGCCGGUUGCAUAAGUUUUCGGUUAAAUCUAUGCGCUUAACGUAUAGGCCGCCGAAAAUACUGUGCAGCUAGGGAGUGGGAGAGGUACACGGUACUCGAUAGGAAGGGGUAAAAUCCUUUGAUCUAUUGACGACCACCUGUGGCGAAGGCGGUGUACCAGAACACGUUCGACGGUGAGGGAUGAAAGCUGGGGGAGCAAACAGGAUUAGAUACCCCUGUAGUCCCUGUCUCUUAUAC